UACGGAGGAUGCAAGCGUUAUCCGGAAUGAUUGGGCGUAAAGCGUCUGUAGGUGGCUUUUUAAGUCCACCGUCAAAUCCCAGGGCUCAACCCUGGACAGGCGGUGGAAACUACCAAGCUGGAGUACGGUAGGGGCAAAGGGAAUUUCCGGUGGAGCGGUGAAAUGCGUAGAGAUCGGAAAGAACACCAAUGGCGAAAGCACUUUGCUGGGCCGACACUGACACUGAGAGACGAAAGCUAGGGGAGCAAAUGGG
This 253-nucleotide ribosomal RNA is filed under the name uncultured prokaryote. RNAcentral describes it as "partial 16S ribosomal RNA". It matches the Rfam family "Bacterial small subunit ribosomal RNA", at positions 524 to 776 of the family's 1533-position model. The record is from RNAcentral.